GCCGCGUGAGGUGAUGACGGCCUUUCGGGUUGUAAACCUCUUUCGUCGGGACGAAACGCAGGUGACGGUACCUGCAUAGUAAUCACCGGCCAACUACAUGCCACCAGCCGCGGUUAUACGUAGGGUGCGAGCGUUGUCCGGAAUUAGUGGGCGUAAAGGGCUCGUACGGGGUUUGUCACGUCCGGAGUGAAAGCUCGGGGCUUAACUCCAAGCCUGCUUCCGAUACGGGCAGACUACAGGUAAGCCGGGGAGAACGGAAUUCCUGGUGUAGCGGUGAAAUGCCCAGAUAUCAAGAGGAACACCGGUGGCGAAGGCGGUUCUUUGGGGAUUACCUGACGCUCAGGAGCGAAAGUGUGGGGAGCGAACAGGAUUAGAUACCCUGGUAGUCCAUACCGUACACGGUGGGCGCUAGGUGUGGGACACAUUCCACGUGUUCCGUGCCGCAUCUGACGCAUUAAGCGCCCCGCCUGGGGAGUACGGCCGCAAGGGUAAAACUCAGAGGAAUUGACGGGGGCCCGCACAAGCGGCGGAGCAUGCGGAUUAAUUCGAUGCAUCGCGAAGAAUCUUACCUGGGUUUGACAUACACCGGAGAGCUCUAGAGAUAGAGCCCCUU
RNAcentral lists this ribosomal RNA (613 nucleotides) under Actinomycetales bacterium Ri3Pt_4387. RNAcentral's name for it is "bacterial SSU rRNA". It matches the Rfam family "Bacterial small subunit ribosomal RNA", at positions 396 to 1017 of the family's 1533-position model. The record is from RNAcentral. Lineage: Bacteria; Bacillati; Actinomycetota; Actinomycetes; Actinomycetales.